ACGGGUGAGUAAUACGUAGGAACUUGCCUUGGAGAGCGGGACAACUCGGGGAAACUCGGGCUAAUACCGCAUGAUAUCGCGAGAUCAAAGUAGGGGACCUUCGGGCCUUACGCUCUGAGAGAGGCUUACGUCGGAUUAGCUAGUUGGUGGGGUAAAGGCCUACCAAGGCGAAGAUCCGUAGCUGGUCUGAGAGGACGAUCAGCCACACUGGGACUGAGACACGGCCCAGACUCCUACGGGAGGCAGCAGUGGGGAAUUUUGGACAAUGGGGGCAACCCUGAUCCAGCAAUGCCGCGUGUGUGAAGAAGGCCUGCGGGUUGUAAAGCACUUUAGGUGGGGAGGAAAGCCAGUGAAGUAAUAUUUCAUUGGGGUGACGUUACCCACAGAAUAAGCACCGGCUAACUCUGUGCCAGCAGCCGCGGUAAUACAGAGGGUGCAAGCGUUAAUCGGAAUUACUGGGCGUAAAGCGCACGUAGGUGGUUGAGUAAGUUUGAUGUGAAAGCCCUGGGCUUAACCUGGGAAUUGCGUUGAAAACUGCUUAACUUGAGUCGGAUAGAGGGCAGUGGAAUUUCCGG
RNAcentral lists this ribosomal RNA (575 nucleotides) under uncultured bacterium. Its description in RNAcentral is "bacterial SSU rRNA". It matches the Rfam family "Bacterial small subunit ribosomal RNA", at positions 102 to 673 of the family's 1533-position model. The record is from RNAcentral.